RNAcentral lists this long non-coding RNA (382 nucleotides) under Durio zibethinus. RNAcentral's name for it is "long non-coding RNA (DZIB_LNC001461)". Lineage: Eukaryota; Viridiplantae; Streptophyta; Magnoliopsida; Malvales; Malvaceae. The record is from RNAcentral.
UUGAAAAAGAAAUUUGAUGUUUUGAUGAAUAAAAAGCAAGAGUUUUUAGAUAAGAGUUUAAGUGCCGAAAUGAUUAAAUGCAUUUUUUGUAAUUUUCAUGGUCAUACUAUACAUACUUGUCCUAUUAAAAGAAAAGUCCCAUUUAGAAUUAGGCAAGUAUGGGUUCCUAAAGGAACAGGAGACUUGCUCACUAACUCUCAAGGACCCAAAGCAAUUUUGGUACCAAAAAUCAAAUGAGAUUGUCUCUUGUAGGUGUGCUAGAGCAAGAAACCACAAUGUGAGAUUGAAGAUUGAAUACUUUAGACACACAAUGGAGAUGGGUAACCUCUAAACUUUAUUUGAAGAGAAUUUGAAUUUAGUUACCUAUUCUUGAUGAAAUUUG